GGGGUUGUGGCUCAGCGGUAGAGCACUCGCCUAGCAUGUGUGAGGCCCUGGGUUCGAUCCUCAGCACCA
RNAcentral lists this transfer RNA (69 nucleotides) under Marmota marmota marmota (Alpine marmot). It matches the Rfam family "tRNA". Rfam says of the family: Transfer RNA (tRNA) molecules are approximately 80 nucleotides in length. Their secondary structure includes four short double-helical elements and three loops (D, anti-codon, and T loops). Further hydrogen bonds mediate the characteristic L-shaped molecular structure. tRNAs have two regions of fundamental functional importance: the anti-codon, which is responsible for specific mRNA codon recognition, and the 3' end, to which the tRNAs corresponding amino acid is attached (by aminoacyl-tRNA synthetases). tRNAs cope with the degeneracy of the genetic code in two manners: having more than one tRNA (with a specific anti-codon) for a particular amino acid; and 'wobble' base-pairing, i.e. permitting non-standard base-pairing at the 3rd anti-codon position. RNAcentral also lists the same sequence under 4 other names. Lineage: Eukaryota; Metazoa; Chordata; Mammalia; Rodentia; Sciuridae. The record is from Rfam by way of RNAcentral.